RNAcentral lists this long non-coding RNA (356 nucleotides) under Lathyrus oleraceus (garden pea). RNAcentral describes it as "Pisum sativum (pea) long non-coding RNA (PSAT_LNC035481)". The record is from RNAcentral. Lineage: Eukaryota; Viridiplantae; Streptophyta; Magnoliopsida; Fabales; Fabaceae.
UUUCUUUUAUUUGCUCGGUUUUCAUUUCUUAUUUUUUCUUCACCGAAUUCCCUUUUUCGUGCUUCUUUUUGAAUCUUCGAGUUAUAAAUUUUUCUCUUUUUAUUUUUUUUCUUUCUUUCUCUCGACUCAUCAUUUUUUCUUUUUUUUGUUCUUGGCACUUUCUUGGGCUUUUGGGAGCUUUUGGGGUUUUUACCCCAAACUUAGCUUUUCAACACGGUUUGAAUGCAUUAACAUGACUCUGAACAGGGUAAGGAAGUUUUUUGGCUAAGGGGUACAUUUAUGGGGUUUUAACAAACAAAUGGAUACAGGCUCAAAUGGGGUUAACGAGGGAUAUACUUAUUCAGGAUGGCUAGAAA